This 1549-nucleotide long non-coding RNA is filed under the name Ananas comosus (pineapple). RNAcentral's name for it is "long non-coding RNA (ACOM_LNC023975)". Lineage: Eukaryota; Viridiplantae; Streptophyta; Magnoliopsida; Poales; Bromeliaceae. The record is from RNAcentral.
AUGUUCAGUCUAGUAAUAUUUCUUCAUAGUUGAACUGGAUUUUCUAUUUACAUUUUUUCGCCUCCACAGUUUUCUUGAACCAAACCAAACUGAACUAAUGCGAUCUAAAUUGAACUGGAUUUUCUUAGCGUGCGCUUGGUUCGUGAUAUCUUUUUAAGAUUCCUACUAAUUCAAUAGAAAAAAAAAAAGUAUGAUAGUGUUUGGCUAAACGCAUUAAUUAAUCUAGUUGAUAAUAUUAAAUUUACUUGGAAAUGAGAUGUAUCCCAAAGUAUUAAUCUCAUUCCUUUGAGAGAGGGUGGGUAUCCUUAUAUUAAUGGAUUGGGAUAAUUAUAAUAUGUCUAAUCUCUUUCUUUCUUCUCACCGGGGCCCGCCGGCUAGUUGGUAUUAUUUUUCUCGGCUAGUUGGUAUUAUUUUUCUUUACAUUCUAACCUCAUAUCUCUCUCUAAACUUAUCUUUUUCUCUCUAAACUUCAACUAUUUUUCGCUCUCUAAACUAUGUUAUUUCUCCCCCUCUCUUUCUAAAAUCUCAACCUUCUCAUUCUCUCUAACAUCGACUCUAUUUCUCAAAGGAUGUUGAAAUUUUUUAUAGUAUUAUUUAAAAUUAAUUAAAAAAAUAAAUUAACUAAUUGUAUAUUUUUUGUAAUCUUAAAUAGCAUGACUUAAAUAAUAUGACCAUAGAAACCAAAUACCGAAAUAUUACAUUUUUAGUAAUAGGAUUAAUAGGAAUAAGAUUCUCGGAUAUAUUUUUACUUCUAGUAAUCUUUUAUAGUAUGAACCAAACGCGCCUUUAAUACCAUCCCACCCCCCUCACCUUACACGCUCUCACAUUCUCUCAUCUCUUUCCAAAACAUACAUAAUACACCCCAUUCACCUCUCUUCAAAUUUUCCCAUUGCUUUUCAAAAUGUACAUGAUCAUUUUCACCUCUCUUCAUAUUUUUUCAAAACGUACACUCUUUCACCUCCCUUUAUAUUUUUUUCAAAACGUGCACCCUCUCACCUCUUCUCAUUUUCCACUCAUCAUAAACAUCCUCACCUACCCUCAUCUCUUUCCAAAAUCCUAAUCUCUUCUUCUUCUUCCUCUCUCUUUCUUUUCCCUCAUUAACAGAGGAGUUGGUAAUAAUGUUAUUUCUGGUGGACGUGGUAUAGGUUGCUAGAGUGUUCGCUGCUAUGCCGAGAAGCUUCACUAAUCGUCAUGGCCUCCUUUCUGUGUGCUAUGGUUGUGGCGCUCGCUUUCUCGCCUCCUCUCAAACCUCCUCCUCUGUCGCUUUUAACGUCCAAUUCGACUCCUUCAUGUCAACUCCUCUCAAACCUCGUCCUCUAUCGCUUUUAUCGUCCAAUUCGACUCCUUCAUGAUUGACAGUCUAAACUUCCUCCCUUUCUCUUUUUUCUUCAUAUGAAUUUUUUUUCUUUUCAAUUAAAUCCUUCUAAUAUAAGAUACGGUCCCCUGGAUUUAGGAAGAGGUUUGCAAGGCUAAAUUUGUUUGGAUUUUGCGAUAUCAAGAUUGUUUACCAUGCACGCCAACUGUUCCACGCAUUGUCUCUAAGGAUUAA